GAGUUUGAUUCUGGCUCAGGACGAACGCUGGCGGCGUGCCUAAUACAUGCAAGUCGAACGAACGGAGAAAGAAGCUUGCUUUUUUCAAAGUUAGUGGCGAACGGGUGAGUAACACGUGGGUAACCUGCCCAUCAGAGGGGGAUAACAUUCGGAAACGGAUGCUAAAACCGCAUAGGUUCCUUAGUUGCAUGACUGAGGAAGGAAAAGAGGCGUAAGCUUCUGCUGGUGGAUGGACCCGCGGUGCAUUAGCUAGUUGGUGAGGUAACGGCUCACCAAGGCGAUGAUGCAUAGCCGACCUGAGAGGGUGAUCGGCCACAUUGGGACUGAGACACGGCCCAAACUCCUACGGGAGGCAGCAGUAGGGAAUCUUCCGCAAUGGACGCAAGUCUGACGGAGCAACGCCGCGUGAGUGAAGAAGGUUUUCGGAUCGUAAAACUCUGUUGUUAGAGAAGAAUAAGCAUAAUAGUAACUGAUUAUGCCGUGACG
This 486-nucleotide ribosomal RNA is filed under the name Granulicatella sp. canine oral taxon 095. Its description in RNAcentral is "bacterial SSU rRNA". It matches the Rfam family "Bacterial small subunit ribosomal RNA", at positions 9 to 474 of the family's 1533-position model. Lineage: Bacteria; Bacillati; Bacillota; Bacilli; Lactobacillales; Carnobacteriaceae. The record is from RNAcentral.